Molecule: ribosomal RNA, 480 nt
Filed under: uncultured bacterium
Lineage: Bacteria
Description: partial 16S ribosomal RNA
Rfam family: Bacterial small subunit ribosomal RNA
Source: RNAcentral
GAUGAACGCUAGCGGCAGGCCUAACACAUGCAAGUCGAGGGGGAGGUUACUUUCGGGUAACUGAGACCGGCGUACGGGUGCGUAACGCGUAUACAAUCUGCCUUUCACUGGGGGAUAGCCCGAAGAAAUUUGGAUUAAUACCCCAUAGUAUAGUAAUACGGCAUCGUGAUGCUAUUAAAGCUUAGGUGGUGAAAGAUGAGUAUGCGUUCUAUUAGCUAGUUGGAGAGGUAACGGCUCCCCAAGGCGAUGAUAGAUAGGGGUUCUGAGAGGGAUGUCCCCCACACUGGUACUGAGAUACGGACCAGACUCCUACGGGAGGCAGCAGUGAGGAAUAUUGGACAAUGGUCGGAAGACUGAUCCAGCCAUGCCGCGUGCAGGAUGAAGGUCUUAUGGACUGUAAACUGCUUUUGUAAGGGAAGAAUAAGGGCUACGCGUAGUUUGAUGACGGUACCUUACGAAUAAGCAUCGGCUAACUCCGUG